GAGAAGAACGUAGCGAAAUGCGAUAAGUAAUGUGAAUUGCAGAAUUCAGUGAAUCAUCGAAUCUUUGAACGCACAUUGCGCCCCUUGGUAUUCCGAGGGGCAUGCCUGUUCGAGCGUCAUUAUCACCCCUCAAGCUUUGCUUGGUGUUGGGGCCUGCUGUAAUAGGCAGCCCUUAAAAUCAGUGGCGGUGCUUCAAGGCUCUAAGCGUAGUAAUUCUCCUCGCUAUAGUGUCUAGUGGUUGCCAGCCAGAACCCCCCAAUUUUCAUGAUUGACCUCGGAGCAGGUAGGGAUACCCGCUGAACUUAAGCAUAUCAAUAAGCGGAGGA
This 326-nucleotide unclassified non-coding RNA is filed under the name soil metagenome. RNAcentral describes it as "partial contains 5.8S ribosomal RNA, internal transcribed spacer 2, and large subunit ribosomal RNA". The stretch from base 3 to 119 matches the Rfam family "5.8S ribosomal RNA", at positions 38 to 154 of the family's 154-position model. The record is from RNAcentral.